UGCUAGGCGGGGAGGUAGCGGUGCCCUGUACCCGCAAUCCGCUGCAGCGGGGUUGAAUUCCCGCCCCAGGGUUUAGCUUGUGGGGUCCGGCAGCCGUAAGGAGCGUUGAAGAUUGGGUCUCGUGCGACGGGGCUUCUUGAACCGUGUCAGGUCCUGACGGAAGCAGCACUAAGGGAAAUACCCCGGGUGCCGCGAGAGUGCCUGGUCCGAGCCACCUGCGGGUGUAUCGCCCGGAAGCUAAUAUUCGAAGGCAGGUGCAUGG
Molecule: signal recognition particle RNA, 262 nt
Filed under: Pelotomaculum sp.
Lineage: Bacteria; Bacillati; Bacillota; Clostridia; Eubacteriales; Desulfotomaculaceae
Description: signal recognition particle sRNA large type
Rfam family: Bacterial large signal recognition particle RNA
About the family: The signal recognition particle (SRP) is a universally conserved ribonucleoprotein involved in the co-translational targeting of proteins to membranes.
Source: RNAcentral